CCUACGGGUGGCAGCAGUCGAGAAUCAUUCACAAUGGGGGAAACCCUGAUGGGGCGACGCCGCGUGGGGGAAUGAAGGUCUGCGGAUUGUAAACCCCUGUCAUGUGGGAGCAAAUUAAAAAGAUAGUACCACAAGAGGAAGAGACGGCUAACUCUGGGCCAGCAGCCGCGGUAAUACAGAGGUCUCAAGCGUUGUUCGGAACAACUGGGCGUAAAGCGUGCGUAGGCUGUGUCGUAAGUCGUGUGUGAAAGGCGCGGGCUCAACCCGCGGACGGCACAUGAUACUUCGAGACUAGAGUAAUGGAGGGGGAACCGGAAUUCUCGGUGUAGCCGUGAAAUGCGUAGAUAUCGCGAGGAACACUCGUGGCGAAGGCGGGUUCCUGGACAUUAACUGACGCUGAGGCACGAAGGCCAGGGGAGCGAAAAGGAUUAGAUACCCGGGUAGUC
Molecule: ribosomal RNA, 446 nt
Filed under: uncultured bacterium
Lineage: Bacteria
Description: partial 16S ribosomal RNA
Rfam family: Bacterial small subunit ribosomal RNA
Source: RNAcentral